ACAAGCAUGGGGAUGCUUUUUAUAUCAGCUGAAAUCGAGUAGGAAAGUAUGAGAAAUUAAUUUGAAAAUAGACCAAGCCCAUGAAAAUAAAAGAGCAGAGCGUAGAUGUGUUUUAAGAGCAAAUAGCAUGGUUUAGAGAGAUAUGUAUGAGAGUAGAAGAAGAUGAAUAGAUUUGGGUUUAGAGAGAUAUGAAAGAAGAAGAAGAUGAACAGAUUUGGGUUUGGAGAGAUAUGAGAGAAGAAGAAGAUGAAGGAUGAGAGGUGAGAGGAGAAGAAGAACAGAUUUGGGUAUGGCUUAGAAGGAUGAGAGGUGAGAGGAGAAGAAGAAUAGAUCCGCAGGAGUUGGAUAAGAAUUGGGAUGAAAUGCUGCUACCAUUAGAUCCAUAGGAUUUAUUCAUUUAAAAUCUAAAGGCCCAGAUUGAUUCGUCCCGUUUUGUCCCUUAAAUUGUGUCCCGCAUGUGAGCAGCCCUGUAUACAUACAUACAUCUAAAGACGGAGCACUGUUCAUUCAACUGUUCCUCGACACUGUUCAUUCGAAUUGGCGGUUUUGCCCUCGAUUGAAAUUUUUUUGUUGCCAACUGACCUGGAUAUAUCGCUCUUCCCGUUGUUUUCAUCGUUCUUCUACACUCCUAUAGUCAUCAUUUUCAGUUAUCAAGAACGAGAGAGAGAGAGAGAGACAUAGAGAGGGACAUCGGAGGCAAAUCCGUAAAACAUAGAGUCCUCGCCCAGUGAAGCCAAUUGAAUCCGAUAAUUUCAAGCUUGGGUCAUCUAAUUCUCAGAAGAAGGAAAAAAAAAAAAAAAAGAACAAGAAGAGGAAUAAGAAAAGGAAGAAGAAGAGGGAAAUCGAGUAAAUUGAUCAUCCCAGGGAUUUCCAUAAGCAUAUCAAAAGAGGCAGCUAAUACAGUUCGCGUAGAAUCUUAGAACUUAGAAAAGAGCACAUCAGUUGAUAGCAGAAAAGAAAGAUAUUCAAGGGAGGAUUGGCAAAGAACAAGCGGUUCUUUGCUUUGCUCAGCUCACUGGCAUUGGUUACAAUUAUGAGUUCAAUUGCGUCUGAAUUUGGGUUUGUUUCUGUUGACAACUACAGAUGCAGAGAGGGAAACUCUAUGUUGGAUAUUAUGUGGCUAUGAAGGGGUUCUCUGCUUUGCUUAUCAGCGUUGCAACAUUUCUCCCAUGUUGUGAGAGUCAUGGAUAAAUGUUGCUUCAGAGAAUAAAGAUGGUUUUUCCUUUUCACAGAGACGAAGGAGCUGGUGAUAGUUUUUCUUGGAGAAAUUGAGCUCAUUUGAACAAAUAGGAAUAUCCGAUUGAGCUGGCACCCAUUUGAUCAAAUUGGGGGAUUUGAUUGAGCAAUCAGAGAUCUUUGAAGGAUUGAGCUCCGGUGUGAUUGUGGAAUCCCUGAAGGUGGUUAGCUUGCAAGGAUUUGCCUCAAUUUUGGAGCCUAACCUCUGCAGAAUUGCACGAUAUCGGCAUAUUGCUUUUACUCCAGUCUGGCAAUGAGAAUGAGGUAUCAUUUAAUUGUGAAAGAAAGCUUUGGAGGAGAACAUAAUUGUGUAUCUGGAAACUGGUUGUGGAAAGACCUAAGUAGCCGUGUUGCUUAUGUAUGAACCAGUUGAUACUCAAACCUCAGAAGAACAUGUGUGCUAAAUCCU
Molecule: RNA transcript, 1645 nt
Organism: Rosa chinensis
Lineage: Eukaryota; Viridiplantae; Streptophyta; Magnoliopsida; Rosales; Rosaceae
Exons: 9
Source: RefSeq, a predicted model, not a curated record